GAUGAACGAUGGCGGCGUGCCUAAUACAUGCAAGUCGAGCGAACGGACGAGAAGCUUGCUUCUCUGAUGUUAGCGGCGGACGGGUGAGUAACACGUGGAUAACCUACCUAUAAGACUGGGAUAGCUUCGGGAAACCGGAGCUAAUACCGGAUAAUAUUUUGAACCGCAUGGUUCAACAGUGAAAGACGGUCUUGCUGUCACUUAUAGAUGGAUCCGCGCUGCAUUAGCUAGUUGGUAAGGUAACGGCUUACCAAGGCAACGAUGCAUAGCCGACCUGAGAGGGUGAUCGGCCACACUGGAACUGAGACACGGUCCAGACUCCUACGGGAGGCAGCAGUAGGGAAUCUUCCGCAAUGGGCGAAAGCCUGACGGAGCAACGCCGCGUGAGUGAUGAAGGUCUUCGGAUCGUAAAACUCUGUUAUUAGGGAAGAACAUAUGUGUAAGUAACUGUGCACAUCUUGACGGUACCUAAUCAGAAAGCCACGGCUAACUACGUG
RNAcentral lists this ribosomal RNA (497 nucleotides) under uncultured bacterium. Its description in RNAcentral is "partial 16S ribosomal RNA". It matches the Rfam family "Bacterial small subunit ribosomal RNA", at positions 28 to 507 of the family's 1533-position model. The record is from RNAcentral.